RNAcentral lists this ribosomal RNA (200 nucleotides) under uncultured bacterium. RNAcentral's name for it is "partial 16S ribosomal RNA". It matches the Rfam family "Bacterial small subunit ribosomal RNA", at positions 8 to 230 of the family's 1533-position model. The record is from RNAcentral.
AGAGUUUGAUCAUGGCUCAGGAUAAACGCUGGCGGCGUGCCUAACACAUGCAAGUCGAACGCUCUUCGUAAGAAGAGAGUGGCGGACGGGUGAGUAACACGUGGGUAUCUGCCCUGAGGUGAGGAAUACCGGCGAGAAAUCGCCGACAAGACCGCAUACACUUCGCAAGAAGUAAAGUCGCAAGACGCCACAGGAUGAGC